UUCAGCUUGGCAGAGAAAUGCAAUAAAUUUAGAAUUUAUGUAUGAAAAAUUUCAGUUGGAA
Molecule: transfer RNA, 61 nt
Filed under: Dermacentor auratus
Lineage: Eukaryota; Metazoa; Arthropoda; Arachnida; Ixodida; Ixodidae
Description: tRNA-Leu
Source: RNAcentral